ACCUUCGGGCCUCUUGCCAUCAGAUGUGCCCAGAUGGGAUUAGCUAGUAGGUGGGGUAACGGCUCACCUAGGCGACGAUCCCUAGCUGGUCUGAGAGGAUGACCAGCCACACUGGAACUGAGACACGGUCCAGACUCCUACGGGAGGCAGCAGUGGGGAAUAUUGCACAAUGGGCGCAAGCCUGAUGCAGCCAUGCCGCGUGUAUGAAGAAGGCCUUCGGGUUGUAAAGUACUUUCAGCGGGGAGGAAGGCGUUGAGGUUAAUAACCUCAGCGAUUGACGUUACCCGCAGAAGAAGCACCGGCUAACUCCGUGCCAGCAGCCGCGGUAAUACGGAGGGUGCAAGCGUUAAUCGGAAUUACUGGGCGUAAAGCGCACGCAGGCGGUCUGUCAAGUCGGAUGUGAAAUCCCCGGGCUCAACCUGGGAACUGCAUUCGAAACUGGCAGGCUAGAGUCUUGUAGAGGGGGGUAGAAUUCCAGGUGUAGCGGUGAAAUGCGUAGAGAUCUGGANGNGAANUACCNGGUGGCGAAGGCGGCCCCCUGGACAAAGACUGACGCUCAGGUGCGAAAGCGUGGGGNGUCAANCAGGAUUAGAUACCCUGGUAGUCCACGCCGUAAACGAUNGUCGACUUGGAGGUUGUGCCCUUGAGGCGUGGCUUCCGGAGCUAACGCGUUAAGUCGACCGCCUGGGGAGUACGGCCGCAAGGUUAAAACUCAAAUGAAUUGACGGGGGCCCGCACAAGCGGUGGAGCAUGUGGUUUAAUUCGAUGCAACGCGAAAAACCUUACCUACUCUUGACAUCCAGAGAACUUUCCAGAGAUGGAUUGGUGCCUUCGGGAACUCUGAGACAGGUGCUGCAUGGCUGUCAUCAGCUCGUGUUGUGAAAUGUUGGGUUAAGUCCCGCAACGAGCGCAACCCUUAUCCUUUGUUGCCAGCGGUUAGGCCGGGAACUCAAAGGAGACUGCCAGUGAUAAACUGGAGGAAGGUGGGGAUGACGUCAAGUCAUCAUGGCCCUUACGAGUAGGGCUACACACGUGCUACAAUGGCGCAUACAAAGAGAAGCGACCUCGCGAGAGCAAGCGGACCUCAUAAAGUGCGUCGUAGUCCGGAUUGGAGUCUGCAACUCGACUCCAUGAAGUCGGAAUCGCUAGUAAUCGUAGAUCAGAAUGCUACGGUGAA
Molecule: ribosomal RNA, 1177 nt
Filed under: uncultured Enterobacter sp.
Lineage: Bacteria; Pseudomonadati; Pseudomonadota; Gammaproteobacteria; Enterobacterales; Enterobacteriaceae
Description: bacterial SSU rRNA
Rfam family: Bacterial small subunit ribosomal RNA
Source: RNAcentral